Brassica rapa (field mustard) is the source of this 8879-nucleotide long non-coding RNA. RefSeq lists it as uncharacterized. The record is from RefSeq and is a predicted model, not a curated record. NCBI's taxonomy places the organism in Eukaryota, Viridiplantae, Streptophyta, Magnoliopsida, Brassicales, Brassicaceae.
AUAUUUUGAAUUUUUAAAACGAUUAUAAAUUACUAAAAACAUUAAGUGCCUCACACUAAAAUUUUGUGAUCAAUAAUUUAAUUUUGUUUUGGUAAUAACAAGAUACAAAUGAUCACAUCGUAUGAAUAUGAAUCCUCCUUUACUAGACAUUCAUAUUAUAUAUUAAUAUAGUUUAAAAUUAAACUAUAUAACAUAGAAAAAUACUUAAAUAUGAUAAUUUCAUAAAUUGUAUUGGAAAAGUUUUGAAACAUUAAUAUUUUAAUUUUGAAAUUUGCGUUAAAAAAAUUGCACAUUAGAAAUUUUGUGUUUAUCACAUGAGUAUAAAUUCUCAAUAAUAAAAUAUUGAUAUUAAAAUAUACUAUAUAUCUAUAUCCAUGUCAUUGAAAUUUAGUUAUAUACCAUAUAUAAUAAAUAAAAUGAUUGUUUUGAUUUAUUUACAAAAAAAUAUCCUAAAUAAACAAGAUGUAUUGUUUUGAUUUACGUGUUUACUCUAAUUUAAUUAUAUACAUAAUACGUAAAUGAAUACAAAUAGAUAAUAAUACAUAAACAAAUAUUUUUAUAUAUAACUUUCAUCCCACGCAAUUAAGCGGGUCUUAAGCUAGUUAGGUAGUAAAUGAUUUGAUUCGUAUGUAUUACGCUAGAGCUUAAUUAUAUUACACUAAGGUUUAGGUAAACUCUUUGUAAUGAUACCAUAUCAGCAAUUAAAAUGCUUAAGGGAGUGACACAUAAGCAAGAUCACUUUGUAAUUAGUACAAAACUAAGAUUAUAUUUUUUUUAAAGAUCAUCAAUUAAUAUAUAAGUGAUAUUUAUAUUCACUUGUUCACUUCUCAUUAUUUAAUAAGAAGUACAAUUUACAUUUUGACACUCUUAAUCCAAAAUUUUCAUGAGAAAAUUGGCUCCAAAAAAGUUUUUUAAAAGAAAAAAAACUUGGCCCCAAAAAGCAAUUAUAAUAGCAAUAGUGAAAGUGAUACUCACUUAAAAGAGGAUGAGCCUGAGCGUAAACAAUCUGUUUGUACAAUUGUCACGGUUUAGUUUUUCUACUGUAUAACAGGAUGUCGGUUUGACUUAUAUAGUUCACAUGUCAUAUAAUUUAUUAUCUGGAUUAACAUAAGACUGUCAUUAUUGGAAAAUAAUUAGGUCAACUCAAGAAUAAUAUGCAUUAAAAACCAUAAUGAAAGGGAUAAGUACAAGAUUUUUGUAUAUCUUUGUUCAUUAUUGUUUAUAACUAUAAGAUAAGGAUAUAAUAAUUAAAAAACGGUUUACAUCUUUCUUUUUUAUCUUUUGGUUAAUGUUUUCCCCAUCUAAAGGUUGAUACCACAGUUACGAAAUAGUCGCUUCCUUAUCUCCUUGAAAACCUUCUGUACCGUCUGGUAUCACAAGAUCAAUCUUUGGUUCAUCAUUCCGGUUCAUAACACCAUGACUCCUGUUAACCGGUAAACUUGGAAGCUUAGAGAGUCCAUCCAUAUAGUAUUGCAUCAUAUCCAUUUGUGGGGCCAAGGGAGAGGGCAAAAGCUGAGAGGUCGAAACGGAAGAAUGCAGCAUACCUAACCCAAGGGUUUGCAUGCUAGGAUCUUGAGACAUAGACGAACCGGAUUUUUUCUUUCUACUGGAUUGGCUUAUGCGUUCAGGUGGUGGAACGUGCUCAUGUAUCCCGUCGUAUGUAGCCACCACUAACUUCACAUUGUCUACGCUUCUCUCCACAUGCUUCGUCACCUUACACCCAGUGUAUGUGCAUCUGUAGUAACUCCUGCGAUUACCAGUGGCGAUUACCAUUUACACCAAAAUAAAUAUAUAAUAUUUUUUGUCAAAAUGCCUGACUAAUUUUGAAGUGAAAGAAAUAUAUAACCUUGGAUUUGGAUUCCCUGUGACAACUUUUUGACCAUAUUUUCUCCAGCGAAAACCAUCGUCAGGAUGGUUUUCUUCGUUUUCAACCUGAAUUAUGACACUUUGGGUCUUGUUUUUUGGUCUUGUGACUCCAAUAAUGUUUGAUACCAUAUUUUCCCUGCGAGGAAUUAUGUAAUUCAGGUAAAUUUUAUUAUUAAACAUAUCAAUUAUAAAUUGAGUUAAUAUAUAGUUUUAUUAUUAUUAUUAUAUAUUGAUUACUCAAUGUUGACUUGGAACUUUCUCUUUCGAGAUGGAGGUUCUAUAACAACGUUGUGAUCUUUGACUUUGUCUUCCUCUUGGUUGUAUUCUCUGUCCUUGUCAUUAUCUUUGCUACCACUUUCAAGGGAGAUAGUGUUCAUAAAAUCAGCUUCAGCAACAACAUCAGAAUCAAAAGAAGGGACUAAAGGAGGACCAGUGGGAUCGACAUUAGAUUCAUGAGAUGUGAUAUAAACAGAUUUUUCCAUUGGAAUAUCAUCAGAGCCUGUUUUACAUGUAAAAAGAAAUAUAUUAAUAUUCGGAAAAUCUAAACUGAAGCAAACUCUAGACACUAGAAACUCUAUUACCUCCUUGAGUAGGCAGAUCAACGUCGAUUGGCUGAUGAGGAAGAUUGUUGUUGGAUAUAAUCAUUGUUGCAUGGGCAUCACCAGAACUUUCCACCGUCUCAGGAGGCGCAUCAUUAGGGAUUGAACACGGAGGGAUAAUCUGGAAACAUAAAUUACACAAAGACAAUAAACAGUUAGGUUAAUCAUAUAUUAAUAUUAUUUUUGGAGACAAUAAUAUAUAUCACGUGUAAGAGAUCAAUCUUAGACUUAUUAAAGACAUUGUUACUUACCUGUGAAGAAGAGUUAGACAACAUAUUUGGAGAUUGUAAAAAUGGAGAGAGACUGAAUCCUGGAGAUAUUACGAGGAUAGGAGAGGGAACAAGAAUCGGGUUCCUGAACGAAUUAGCAAAUGGACUGAUGCUCUCUAUCUCGAGCGAUGGAAUAUCAAAUCCUACCAUUCUGUUGCGGAGACCACCAGAUCUUUGUUCAGACUGAGGAUCAGGUGAUACGUUGGUUUGAGGGAACGCCUUGCUGAUCGGAUUUAGACCAUUUUCGUUUUGAUCCAGCAUUGCUAAUGCCUCUCUUAUGCGAGGACUGGACAGUGGGGACAAAUCAUCCAUAAAGUUUCCAUCAUAAUCAUUCAUUUUUUGGGGUGAAAAUCUUGAAAGGUCAACAAAAACCACACAAAAACAAGAUCCUUGAAAACUGAAAAACUAUUUGGAAUACAAAGUAAUGUAAUGUAAAGCAGUAAAGGUGAUAUAAUCUGGGAAAUUUUAAAUAGUUGGAUAGUAAUGAAUAAUUUAUUUAUAGAUGUAAACGAAAAGCCUUCUUUAAAGGAAUCUAGGUAUUGUAUGUGUUGCAUAGAAGGGAGGUGGUCUUCUUAUAGUAAAAUUCAACCAUUUUAUUUUGGUAACAAUUUUAUGUGGUCAAACUUUCUUAAUCCAAAUUUUCUCAAUUCUUAAAGAAGUUUUAAUUACCUUUUACUUCUUUUUGGUUUCUUAUGAAAGGUGUAUAUUUCAUUCCGGUUUUAUCAAAAAAAUACCAAAGCUAACGAUAUUAUUCAAAAUUUUGAUUUUCUUUUCCCGUAUUGUAUUUAUUCCAAAACAAAUAAAAAUAGUUUGUGGUUAAAAAUAAUUAAGUUCAGUCAAUUAUUUGUAAUUUGAUUAUUUUAAAAUUAUAACAAUGUUUAAAAUAUUUUGGCAUGGUUUUAUUUGAGUUUAUACUAUAAACGUCUCCAUUUAGAAACCCACUUGGCACCCUAAUCUCUUGGUAUAUGUUAUUUUUUUGUCUGGUAGGGAUGAUUGUGACGUGUGCUUUGAUAACAUGGAAAGCUUUGAUGUGUCACUGGAAGUGAAUCCCCUGUUUACUCAUAGUGAAUAUGAUACCUAGUAGGGGGAUAUAUUGUUCUUGCACAUGAGUAAUGACCCCAUCCGAGCUGGCGAAAGUGUUGUUUUCAAUAUUGAUGCAAGUUUCCCUUUCUCAUUUUUUGUUUUGCUUACUUAUGCAUGAACCUUUCACCUCAUUUGUAUUUUUAUUCAUGCUUCUCUUUUCAGGGUCGUGAUAUUCCAAUUGUCCAUCGUGUCAUUAAGGUAACUUUUUCUAUAGAUCUCCUCAUUAUCAUCUCCCUGUGCUUAGAUUGUAGCACCUAGAUGAUUCUGAUUCUUUGGGGGUUCAUUACAUUACAGGUUCACGAAAGGGAAAGUACUGGAGAAAUCGUUGUUUUGACCAAAGGUUCUGGUUUUAUUUAUUUGAAUUGAGUGUGAGUUGUUUAUCAUAUUGUUAUCAUUCAACGCCCAUUUACAUUUUCAUUUCUAUUGUUUACAGGUGACAAUAACCUUGACCAUGAUAGAAUUCUCUAUGCUAAAGGUCAGCUUUGGCUUCAUCGACAUCAUGUAAUGAGUCGUGCUGUAGGAUAAUUAAUUUACUUUAAUCACAUAAGUGUAUAGUGUGUAAAGUAAACCAAAAGCUGUAGUUACUCAUAAAUGGUUUUACCUUUGUGCCUGCUUCAGCUUCUUGCCUUAUGUUGGAUGGGUGACUAUAAUCAUGACAGAAAAGCCUAUCAUCUAGGUUAAUACAUUCUCUUUUCUCACUCUAUGUCCAAUCCACAAUGAACACUCUGUGUCAUUUUUUUAAUCUUCUUCUUGCAGUAUCUUCUCAUAGCUGCAUUGGGUAUACUUGUUAUAACGUCCAUGGGUUGAGUCUUUUUGGAUAGGAAUUGACUCCUUUGGUUUAUCAUCCUUCUGGUCUUUGUUAUUUCAAUGGGUAAUAGCAAGUCAAAGACUGGUCAUUUGUUGUUUAGACCACUUUAAUAUAUUACAAUCAGAAAGCUAACUUUUAAUCCUGGAGAUUAGAUUACCUAAAUAAAAGAGAUUUGUUUGCUUAGGAUAUGCUUUGUUUCGUUUUUCUUUCUCUCUCUUUAAAAAAAUUAGUAAAAACAAUAAAGAAACUCCUGAAAUUUACUCAAACAAAUGCUGGAGAGAUAUGAUCAAACACUUGUAUAUAUUUAUACUCACUUGUACACUUCUCAUUAUUUAAUAUGACCUACAAUCUAAAGUUUGCUACACUCUUAAUCCAACUUUCUCAUGAGAAACUUGGCUCCAAAAAGCUAAUAUAAUGGCAAGAGUAAAAGUGAUACUCACUUAAAAAGAGGAUGAGCAUGAGCGUAAACAAUCUGUUUAAUUGGAUUAUAGUCAGGGUUUAGUUUUUCUUCUGUAUCACUGGAUGUCGGUUUGAUUUAUAUAGUUCACAUAUACAUAUAGUUUAUUAUCUGGAUUAACCAUCCUAACACAGUCAACUCAAGAAUAAUAUGCAUUAAAAACCAUAAUGAAAGGGAUAAGUACAAGAUUUUUGUAUAUCUUUGUUCAUUAUUGUUUAUAACUAUAAGAUAAGGAUAUAAUAAUUAAAAAACGGUUUACAUCUUUCUUUUUUAUCUUUUGGUUAAUGUUUUCCCCAUCUAAAGGUUGAUACCACAGUUACGAAAUAGUCGCUUCCUUAUCUCCUUGAAAACCUUCUGUACCGUCUGGUAUCACAAGAUCAAUCUUUGGUUCAUCAUUCCGGUUCAUAACACCAUGACUCCUGUUAACCGGUAAACUUGGAAGCUUAGAGAGUCCAUCCAUAUAGUAUUGCAUCAUAUCCAUUUGUGGGGCCAAGGGAGAGGGCAAAAGCUGAGAGGUCGAAACGGAAGAAUGCAGCAUACCUAACCCAAGGGUUUGCAUGCUAGGAUCUUGAGACAUAGACGAACCGGAUUUUUUCUUUCUACUGGAUUGGCUUAUGCGUUCAGGUGGUGGAACGUGCUCAUGUAUCCCGUCGUAUGUAGCCACCACUAACUUCACAUUGUCUACGCUUCUCUCCACAUGCUUCGUCACCUUACACCCAGUGUAUGUGCAUCUGUAGUAACUCCUGCGAUUACCAGUGGCGAUUACCAUUUACACCAAAAUAAAUAUAUAAUAUUUUUUGUCAAAAUGCCUGACUAAUUUUGAAGUGAAAGAAAUAUAUAACCUUGGAUUUGGAUUCCCUGUGACAACUUUUUGACCAUAUUUUCUCCAGCGAAAACCAUCGUCAGGAUGGUUUUCUUCGUUUUCAACCUGAAUUAUGACACUUUGGGUCUUGUUUUUUGGUCUUGUGACUCCAAUAAUGUUUGAUACCAUUUUCCCUGCGAGGAAUUAUGUAAUUCAGGUAAAUUUUAUUAUUAAACAUAUCAAUUAUAAAUUGAGUUAAUAUAUAGUUUUAUUAUUAUUAUUAUAUAUUGAUUACUCAAUGUUGACUUGGAACUUUCUCUUUCGAGAUGGAGGUUCUAUAACAACGUUGUGAUCUUUGACUUUGUCUUCCUCUUGGUUGUAUUCUCUGUCCUUGUCAUUAUCUUUGCUACCACUUUCAAGGGAGAUAGUGUUCAUAAAAUCAGCUUCAGCAACAACAUCAGAAUCAAAAGAAGGACUAAAGGAGGACCAGUGGGAUCAACAUUAGAUUCAUGAGAUGUGAUAUAAACAGAUUUUUCCAUUGGAAUAUCAUCAGAGCCUGUUUUACAUGUAAAAAGAAAUAUAUUAAUAUUCGGAAAAUCUAAACUGAAGCAAACUCUAGACACUGGAAACUCUAUUACCUCCUUGUGUAGGCAGAUCAACGUCGAUUGGCUGAUGAGGAAGAUUGUUGUUGGAUAUAAUCAUUGUUGCAUGGGCAUCACCAGAACUUUCCACCGUCUCAGGAGGCGCAUCAUUAGGGAUUGGACACGGAGGGAUAAUCUGGAAACAUAAAUUACACAAAGACAAUAAACAGUUAGGUUAAUCAUAUAUUAAUAUUAUUUUGGAGACAAUAAUAUAUAUCACGUGUAAGAGAUCAAUCUUAGACUUAUUAAAGACAUUGUUACUUACCUGUGAAGAAGAGUUAGACAACAUAUUUGGAGAUUGUAAAAAUGGAGAGAGACUGAAUCCUGGAGAUAUUACGAGGAUAGGAGAGGGAACAAGAAUCGGGUUCCUGAACGAAUUAGCAAAUGGACUGAUGCUCUCUAUCUCGAGCGAUGGAAUAUCAAAUCCUACCAUUCUGUUGCGGAGACCACCAGAUCUUUGUUCAGACUGAGGAUCAGGUGAUACGUUGGUUUGAGGGAACGCCUUGCUGAUCGGAUUUAGACCAUUUUCGUUUUGAUCCAGCAUUGCUAAUGCCUCUCUUAUGCGAGGACUGGACAGUGGGGACAAAUCAUCCAUAAAGUUUCCAUCAUAAUCAUUCAUUUUUUGGGGUGAAAAUCUUGAAAGGUCAACAAAAACCACACAAAAACAAGAUCGUUGAAAACUGAAAAACUAUUUGGAAUACAAAGUAAUGUAAUGUAAAGCAGUAAAGGUGAUAUAAUCUGGGAGAUUUUAAAUAGUUGGAUAGUAAUGAAUAAUUUAUUUAUAGAUGUAAACGAAAAGCCUUCUUUAAAGGAAUCUAGGUAUUGUAUGUGUUGCAUAGAAGGGAGGUGGUCUUCUUAUAGUAAAAUUCAACCAUUUUAUUUGGUAACAAUUUUAUGUGGUCAAACUUUCUUAAUCCAAAUUUUCUCAAUUCUUAAAGAAGUUUUAAUUACCUUUUACUUCUUUUUGGUUUCUUAUGAAAGGUGUAUAUUUCAUUCCGGUUUUAUAAAAAAAAUACCAAAGCUAACGAUAUUAUUCAAAAUUGUGAUUUUCUUUUCCCGUAUUGUAUUUAUUCCAAAACAAAUAAAAAUAGUUUGUGGUUAAAAAUAAUUAAGUUCAGUCAAUUAUUUGUAAUUUGAUUAUUUUAAAAUUAUAACAAUGUUUAAAAUAUUUUAGCAUGGUUUUAUUUGAGUUUAUACUAUAAACGUCUCCAUUUAGAAACCCACUUGGCACCCUAAUCUCUUGGUAUAUGUUAUUUUUUGUCUGGUAGGGAUGAUUGUGACGUGUGCUUUGAUAACAUGGAAAGCUUUGAUGUGUCACUGGAAGUGAAUCCCCUGUUUACUCAUAGUGAAUAUGAUACCUAGUAGGGGGAUAUAUUGUUCUUGCACAUGAGUAAUGACCCCAUCCGAGCUGGCGAAAGUGUUGUUUUCAAUAUUGAUGCAAGUUUCCCUUUCUCAUUUUUUGUUUUGCUUACUUAUGCAUGAACCUUUCACCUCAUUUGUAUUUUUAUUCAUGCUUCUCUUUUCAGGGUCGUGAUAUUCCAAUUGUCCAUCGUGUCAUUAAGGUAACUUUUUCUAUAGAUCUCCUCAUUAUCAUCUCCCUGUGCUUAGAUUGUAGCACCUAGAUGAUUCUGAUUCUUUGGGGGUUCAUUACAUUACAGGUUCACGAAAGGGAAAGUACUGGAGAAAUCGUUGUUUUGACCAAAGGUUCUGGUUUUAUUUAUUUGAAUUGAGUGUGAGUUGUUUAUCAUAUUGUUAUCAUUCAACGCCCAUUUACAUUUUCAUUUAUAUUGUUUACAGGUGACAAUAACCUUGACCAUGAUAGAAUUCUCUAUGCUAAAGGUCAGCUUUGGCUUCAUCGACAUCAUAUAAUGAGUCGUGCUGUAGGAUAAUUAAUUUACUUUAAUCACAUAAGUGUAUAGUGUGUAAAGUAAACCAAAAGCUGUAAUUACUCAUAAAUGGUUUUACCUUUGUGCCUGCUUCAGCUUCUUGCCUUAUGUUGGAUGGGUGACUAUAAUCAUGACAGAAAAGCCUAUCAUCUAGGUUAAUACAUUCUCUUUUCUCACUCUAUGUCCAAUCCACAAUGAACACUCUGUGUCAUUUUUUUAAUCUUCUUCUUGCAGUAUCUUCUCAUAGCUGCAUUGGGUAUACUUGUUAUAACGUCCAUGGGUUGAGUCUUUUUGGAUAGGAAUUGACUCCUUUGGUUUAUCAUCCUUCUGGUCUUUGUUAUUUCAAUGGGUAAUAGCAAGUCAAAGACUGGUCAUUUGUUGUUUAGACCACUUUAAUAUAUUACAAUCAGAAAGCUAACUUUUAAUCCUGGAGAUUAGAUUACCUAAAUAAAAGAGAUUUGUUUGCUU